Molecule: ribosomal RNA, 409 nt
Filed under: uncultured beta proteobacterium
Lineage: Bacteria; Pseudomonadati; Pseudomonadota; Betaproteobacteria
Description: bacterial SSU rRNA
Rfam family: Bacterial small subunit ribosomal RNA
Source: RNAcentral
GAGUUUGAUCAUGGCUCAGAUUGAACGCUGGCGGCAUGCCUUACACAUGCAAGUCGAACGGUAACGCGGGGCAACCUGGCGACGAGUGGCGAACGGGUGAGUAAUGCAUCGGAACGUGCCCAGUAGUGGGGGAUAGCCCGGCGAAAGCCGGAUUAAUACCGCAUACGACCUAUGGGUGAAAGCGGGGGAUCGCAAGACCUCGCGCUAUUGGAGCGGCCGAUGUCAGAUUAGGUAGUUGGUGGGGUAAAGGCCUACCAAGCCUUCGAUCUGUAGCUGGUCUGAGAGGACGACCAGCCACACUGGGACUGAGACACGGCCCAGACUCCUACGGGAGGCAGCAGUGGGGAAUUUUGGACAAUGGGCGCAAGCCUGAUCCAGCCAUGCCGCGUGCGGGAAGAAGGCCUCGGUU